UUUCCGUAGGUGAACCUGCGGAAGGAUCAUUACAGAGUUCAUGCCCUCACGGGUAGAUCUCCCACCCUUGAAUAUUUAUACCUUAGUUGCUUUGGCAGGCCGUGGAAACACCAUGGGCUCCGGCUUAUGCGUGCCUGCCAGAGGAAACAAACUCUGUUUUUAGUGAUGUCUGAGUACUAUAUAAUAGUUAAAACUUUCAACAACAGAUCUCUUGGUUCUG
RNAcentral lists this unclassified non-coding RNA (220 nucleotides) under plant metagenome. Its description in RNAcentral is "partial contains small subunit ribosomal RNA, internal transcribed spacer 1, and 5.8S ribosomal RNA". The record is from RNAcentral.